GACUGGUCAAGCCUCCUCAAAUUUAGACUUUGGUUAUGAUUUAAGCCUUCUAGAUUUGUCGUCACAAAAUGUUUUCAUUUUGGAUGACUAGUGCAUAUGACUAGUCAUCCUUGAUAUGUUUUUUUAUCACAUGUUGUGGUCAAGUCAUUUUAUUUUUCACGUGAGCUGCUGGUACCAUUAGUCCUAUUCUAGCUCUUAUCAUUAGCUGCCAUGGGUUUUUGUUUUGAUCUGCCCAAAUUUAUCAAAAGGGUGGCUGAGGUAGAAAACAAUCAACACUUUUAUUUUGGAUUGUCGACAACAUUUUUU
This 306-nucleotide long non-coding RNA is filed under the name Prunus persica (peach). RNAcentral's name for it is "long non-coding RNA (PPER_LNC006534)". Lineage: Eukaryota; Viridiplantae; Streptophyta; Magnoliopsida; Rosales; Rosaceae. The record is from RNAcentral.